Molecule: long non-coding RNA, 534 nt
Organism: Archocentrus centrarchus (flier cichlid)
Lineage: Eukaryota; Metazoa; Chordata; Actinopteri; Cichliformes; Cichlidae
Exons: 3
Source: RefSeq, a predicted model, not a curated record
AUAUUUGCAUCAUUGCCACUAUGAAGAUGCUGACAGUGUUCGUACUUGUUUGUGCCAUGGUGGCUCUGGCCAGAGGUGAUGGUGAGUUUUAAACCUAAUGCUACAAUUGCCACAAAAUGAGCAUUUUAGAGAAUGAUUCAACCUGAUUUAGACUCUGUCUCAUAGUCUUUUUGUCUCUAAGCAGAGAAUGGGUUGUUCAAGAGGUCAUCAUAUUGUCCCACUGACUCGAUUACGUUCAGAGGUCGUUGUUUCUUCUGUUUCAGCAAAGAUGACAUGGGGUGAUGCUGAGAAAUUCUGUCUGACCAAUAGAGCACACCUCGCUUCUGUGCACAGUGCUGAAGAGUAUUAUAGCAUCCAGAGAAUGAUAAAAAACCCUCACUCAAGGAUUGGGAAGAACAUGGCUUGGAGGCUCCGAUUGCCAAAAAGAAGGUGUUUGGUUGUGGAGUGAUGGCACACCUUUUGACUACCAACACAAAGGAAAGUUUGAUAACCGCUGGUGGAGGGCAACAACUGGUUUGCAAAUGAAUUAUGGAG